UAGAAUUAUGCUCAUAGACAUCACGUCAUUUAAAUCAGUUCAGAUUUCACCUGAUGUAAAAAAAAAUUCUAACAUCGGUUUCUAAAAAUCCGAUUUCUAUUUAUAUGAUUAACAUCGUAUGUUACUGUUGACCGAUGUCUAUAUUUUGAUUCCAAAAUUUUCAAAAACGCGGAAAGACUAAGUUAAAAGUUUUCGUACACGCGGGGAACAAAAUUUUCAUUCCCCCCGCACUUAGUCAGUUCUUCCACUUUUACCUUCUCUCACUUUAUCUUCCAAUUUCACACUCUCCCUCUUCCGCGAAGCCCUAGCCCCAUCCUCCUUCCUCUCCGCUAUCUUUCCACGGCCACCACCGCCUCCCUGUACUGUCUCUCUCUCAUUAACGACCUCCUCCCUCUCGCCGGCAUCAUCGCCUCGAUCUGCCGGCAAGCUCUCUCUCUCUCUCUCUCUCUCACUUACUCUCUCUAAAACCCUCUGUCUCUCUCUGGAAUUGACGAAGAUGAAGUCCAUGCAGCCGCGUCGCAAUUUCUUACGGGAGACGAUGAAGCCAAGCCUCCCCAGUCGCCAAACCCUAGCUCCGGCAAGCCUCCAAGGAGAAUGCGCCUCCGCUUACAGAUCUAACUCGUCAUCCUUUUUGAUUCUCACAGACAGAGAUUCCCAAAUCCUCCCUCUUUCUAUCAAGAAUCGAUUCACGACGACCCCUUUUUAUCCCGAUUCAAUUUCCCCAGGGGGAUGGCUGUGAUGGUGCAGCAGAUGGCUACGAUAGUGGCCUUUUUUGGUGUAUUGUCUUUCAUCUUCGGAAUUAUUGCGGAAAACAAGAAGGUAUUGUGUGUUAUGGGUCAAAUUGGUGAUUGUUAUAUCGGAAAGACUGAUACAUUUGUGCAUGUGUUCUAUUUUUUCCUUGUGUUACUUUGUGCAUCCUGAAAUUUGAUCCAUGAUAUUCUUCGGUUGUUAUUUGUGGAUGGUGGUUUGUUCGUUUAUUAGGGAUUACUAAUUAGUUAUUUUGAGUGUGUUCUAUCUCUGUGAGGUUGGAUUUUGUGUAAUUAUACACCUUUGCCUGAAGCAGGGCUUGUUUCCCAUGGCUUUAUUACAUCUGAGCAGUAAUAAUCUCAGAAAGGUAAUCAAUAUGUUAGUCUUUGCCUUCUAUUUCCUUGUAAUUGAGUAUUUACCUAAAAGCAUAAGCAUCCAUGUUAGGUAUUUUCUUACUGUUAAGUGUUGCACUCCAUUUAUAAUUCCAGAAUCCUGAGAUUGAUUUGCUGACUUUUUUUUUAUGUCAUAUAUUCUACAGACUUUACUGACUUCUUUUUAUGUCAUAUAUCAAACCAUUUAGGGGUUCAAAAAGGUUUUGUGGGAUGGUUCAAAGGAUUUGUGGGCUGGAAACUUUUUGAAAAUGGAAUUGAUCACCUCAUGUCUCAUUCUUUUUCUCCUAAAGAUGGUAUUGAGCAUGCUGGAACCCAAACUGUUGGGAAGAGUAAGGUAAUAAAAGAUGCUACUCAAGAGUGAACUUGGGAAGACGAUGUCACUCUAUGUUUUGGAUGCAAUCAUCUGUGUAGAUCAUGAGAGAUAUUUCCUAGGCCAACUUCAAAGCAAGGGUUUCCUAAGUUCUUGUCUUAUGAACAUCAGCAGCUUAUCUUAUCAGGUGCUUCUUUAAUCAACUAAGUGAAUUUCUGAUAAUUUGUUGGCUAGACAUCAAUUAAAAAUAAAAUAAAUAAAUAGAUAAGAGUUAAAGCAGACCAUGCUUAGGGUUGGGAGCCUCUUGUGGUCAAUUUCCUUUUCUAUAAGUCAGCUUGAAUAAUCUGGCUCCCAAAUUGGCUUUUUCAAUCAUAAAAUGGUCAGAAAAGAGGUAUAAUAUCCAUUUUCUAAACAUCAAAUAACUAUUAUGUAUACAAUGCAGAUUUGCGACAUAAAUGAAGUAUCAAGAGAGGAGGUGGAUGAACUUACAUCCGCCUAUCAAUAUGUAUGCUUAGCAAGUAGUGUUUCAUCAUCUGACAAUAUACAGAAAAGGUACUCCCUAAGUUUCUUGGGAAAAGUAGGCCAAUUUAAUGUGAAGGUUCUUCUGGAUUCAUUUCUCAGAGAAUUUGGUUUAGCUGUGGUGCAGUUUACUUUCAAUGUGAAAUUAUAUAUAUGUGUAAUGCAAGUUGGAGUGUUAAAGGUAUUUUAAGCAAUAGCGAACAGGAAAUACAAGUAAUAGUUGGUGAAAAAAAGAGAGAAAAAAAAGUGACAAUUAAAGCCUAGUUUAGUGCUAAGUUUGUAUUUCAUUUUCCCUGGUAAAAGUAACAAGCUAAUGUCAGUUAGAUAGCCAUAUGUUUUGUCUAUCACCAUUUAAAUCACUUACUCUCUGGAGUAGUUAAAUUACAUUUUUUUUUGUUUUUGAUCAUGAAGCAUCUGUUUUCUAAUUGAUUCGUUGAUUCUAUAGGAGUUAUAAUGCGAUGGUGGAAAUAUGCUACGUUGUCGGGAAUUGAUAUCAGUUAAUAACUAUAUUACUUCCACUAGUAAAUAUGGGCACCAUUCACUAAAUAUUCUGUUUAUCGGGACCAUCUACUUAUGUGAAAUCCUCUCUGUUUUUUAUAUAACAUGAAAUUCUGGGUGUCUUUGUCU
Molecule: long non-coding RNA, 2595 nt
Organism: Rosa rugosa (rugosa rose)
Lineage: Eukaryota; Viridiplantae; Streptophyta; Magnoliopsida; Rosales; Rosaceae
Exons: 3
Source: RefSeq, a predicted model, not a curated record